CUCUAAUAGAAAUAAUUAUUAGUAAAAUCUGCUCAAUGAUAUUUCAAUAGCCGCAAUUAUAUUGUGCUAAGGUAGCAUAAUCAUUUGUCUUUUAAUUAAAGACUAGAACGAAAGAUUCAACUUUUAAACCACUUUCUCAUAACACCCCCUAUAAAUUAUCUUAAAUAUAAUAAGAUAUUUAUUUUUAAAAAAGACGAUAAGACCCUAUUGAAUUUAACUUUAGUUUAACUGGGGCAGUUAAUUAAUAACCAUUUUAAUUAUUAAUACAAGCAAAAAGACCCGAUACAGCCGACUUAAUGACCAAAUUACCAUAGGGAUAACAGCGUAAUAAAAUUUUUAAGCUCAUAUUCAAAAUUCUGAUUGCGACCUCGAUGUUGAAUAAUCUCACCUAUUAAAAGCAACAUUUUAUUAAGGAAGUCUGUUCGACUUUUAAUUUUUUACA
Molecule: ribosomal RNA, 442 nt
Filed under: Cambridgea sp. CG97
Lineage: Eukaryota; Metazoa; Arthropoda; Arachnida; Araneae; Stiphidiidae
Description: partial 16S ribosomal RNA
Rfam family: Bacterial large subunit ribosomal RNA
Source: RNAcentral